This is a non-coding RNA of Pelobates cultripes (western spadefoot toad), 445 nucleotides long. NCBI's taxonomy places the organism in Eukaryota, Metazoa, Chordata, Amphibia, Anura, Pelobatidae. The record is from the annotation of a GenBank genome assembly.
CUUUAUUUAAGAACCGCUGAGUAAUGGAUCAGAGAGUUUACAAACUAGGCAUACGGAAAUUUUCUUUCAAAAUAUUCAGUAGUCUGAAGAGCGAAUGUCAUCUUCCAAUUAAACACUGCUGUAUGAACAUCAAUUUUUUAAAAUAUUUUUUUUUUUUUACAUGACUGUACUAGAAUGAAAUUGGAGUUCAUCUAGUUUAGCUAGACAUAUCGCAAGCCAAAGGAGCUCACAAAGAACCUGACUUUAUCUCCUAAAUAAUGUAUUAUUUGCAUUGCACAGCCACUCAAUCCCCAGAUUCGGCACUAAAGUAAUAGUGUGAUGAAGGCUUUGACAAGUAAUGCUACCAAAUGAAUCUGCUGCAAAUCACAUUUUUAUAGAUGUGCAUUUGUGUUCUGUUGUGUCAUGUGUCAUACAGAUAUGUCUGUAAUGCAAAGCAGCUGAAAAU